ACGGAGGGGGCUAGCGUUGUUCGGAAUUACUGGGCGUAAAGCGCACGUAGGCGGCUUUGUAAGUUAGAGGUGAAAGCCCGGAGCUCAACUCCGGAACUGCCUUUAAGACUGCAUCGCUUGAACGUCGGAGAGGUAAGUGGAAUUCCCGGUGUAGUGGUGAAAUGCGUAGAUAUCGGGAGGAACACCAGUGGCGAAGGCGACUACCUGGCCUGUUCUUGACGCUGAGGCGCGAAAGCUAGGGGAGCAAACGGGA
This 253-nucleotide ribosomal RNA is filed under the name uncultured prokaryote. RNAcentral describes it as "partial 16S ribosomal RNA". It matches the Rfam family "Bacterial small subunit ribosomal RNA", at positions 525 to 777 of the family's 1533-position model. The record is from RNAcentral.